RNAcentral lists this ribosomal RNA (494 nucleotides) under uncultured bacterium. Its description in RNAcentral is "partial 16S ribosomal RNA". It matches the Rfam family "Bacterial small subunit ribosomal RNA", at positions 28 to 507 of the family's 1533-position model. The record is from RNAcentral.
GACGAACGCUGGCGGCGUGCUUAACACAUGCAAGUCGAACGGAAAGGCCUGCUUUCCCUUGUGGAUUGCGGGUACUCGAGUGGCGAACGGGUGAGUAACUCGUGAGUGAUCUGCCCCCAACUUGUGUAUAAGCCCGGGAAACUGGGUCUAAUUCCCGUUAGAACUGCAGGGUUCUUCCUGUGGUUGAAAACGAUUUUCUACUGGUUGUGGAAGAGCUCGCUGCCUAUCAGCUUGUUGGUGGGGUAAUAGCCCGCCAAGGCGGCGACGGGUAGCCGGCCUGAGAGCGUGGACAGCAGAAUUGGGAAAGGGAUACGGCCCAGACGCGUGGGGGGGGGAGGAGUGAGGAAACUUGAGGCAUAAGCGUGAGGCUGAUACGUCGAGGGAGGGAUGGAGAUGACGGGCUUCGGGUUGUAAACUCCUUUGGACCGCGAGGAAGCCACCUGGAUGGAAGGGUGGUGACGGUAGUGAUAGAAGAAGCCCCGGCUAACUACGUG